AAUAACCUUAUUUUUUGUUUUUCCAUGUGCAACGUUUGACUAUUCAUCUUAUUUGAAAAAUUUGUGCAAAAACCUAAAAAAAUAGUCACGUAUAAAAUACUAUUUAUAUUUUAUCAUCUAGUAAUAAUAAAAAUAUUAAUCGCAAAAAAUUUCAAAUAAGACGAAUGGUCAAACGUUGGACACGAAAAACGAAAAAUAAGGUUAUU
This is a non-coding RNA of Oryza brachyantha (malo sina), 206 nucleotides long. Lineage: Eukaryota; Viridiplantae; Streptophyta; Magnoliopsida; Poales; Poaceae. The record is from Rfam.